Alnus glutinosa is the source of this 1179-nucleotide long non-coding RNA. RefSeq lists it as uncharacterized. NCBI's taxonomy places the organism in Eukaryota, Viridiplantae, Streptophyta, Magnoliopsida, Fagales, Betulaceae. The transcript is spliced from 4 exons. The record is from RefSeq and is a predicted model, not a curated record.
UUUGGUUGAAAAUCGGUUGGAGGGGAAAUUAAAUUUCAUUUCCCCUCCAACGCUGCCCCUCCUCUCUCUCUCUCUCUCUCUCUCUCUCCAACUUCCGUAUGAACCUGCCGUUGCCGCCGCUCGCUCGCUCACCGGUUGUGACCGACCCUCUCGGCGGUUGGCUUCUCUCUCGGUGGUCGGCCACCCUCCACCAGGCCAUCCUUCACUGGUGUUCCGUCUCCGACAGAUUUGGCGAUCAGAUCUAUCUCCAGCGAUGCUCUCUCUCUUUGUGGCCGAAUCUGUUGUAAUCCAACCUCCUAAUAUUGUUUAUUUCUGUGGAGUUUAGCUGGGUUACAAAGUCACUUAGACUUUCGGUGAAAUAAUGAGUUUCAAUGGAAAUAGUCAAGUUCCAAUGGACAUGUCCCCAAGCCACAUUUUGAAGGGUUCUGUUAAAUGAUGUUUGAUAUUUCUACUUCUUAAUGGACAUGCUCGUGGAAGCUUAUGGAAGCCCUGUGAAGAGGGAGUUGGCAUUACAAUUGUGCUGGGCCGUUGGGCCUAGAUGUAUGAAAACCUUUCAUAUAGUCUUCCAGGUCUAAGGCAGAAGCCAAAACAUGGAUUCGGCAUGAAAGUUUUCAGAAGGGUUAUGUGAUUUAUUCACUUAACACGACCUUCCUUCUCAGUACAUGCUAAAUUCAGUGCUAUCAAUUCCAUAGAAUGUGUUUUGUUAGAUAAAUGUACCAUAGAAGCAUUAAUUUUUUAUUUUUUAUUUUUAUUUUUUUUAUGAGAUAAAUAGCUUUCUUUAUCAUGUGCAUUGACCGUGGGUAAUUUUUUGAACAGACUCCAGAACCAGAAGGCAAAACAUGGGUGUAUAUUGAUGUAUAUUUGAUGUACAUUUUGAUAGGCAUUUUGAUGUAUAUUUGAUGUGAAUGUAUAUUUGAUGCUGAAUGUAUGUAUAUUUGUACAGUUUUGGUGCACAUGUGUAUUUGAUGUACUUUUUUAUGGGCAUUUUGAUGUAUAUUUGCCUUUCGAGGAGGUAUUUUCUUAACCCUUUCAAUGGUUGCAGUUUUUGUUUCAAAGCUUGUUUGAUCUAUGUUGAUAACACCACUGCUAUGAGAAUGGUGGAAGUUCCAUGCAUGGCCUAUUGUUUUGAGGAAACAUUUAUAUACACUGAACUUUGGGUUACAAUAUUUGAUUUAUUGU